This 365-nucleotide ribosomal RNA is filed under the name Escherichia coli. RNAcentral describes it as "partial 23S ribosomal RNA". It matches the Rfam family "Bacterial large subunit ribosomal RNA", at positions 1 to 393 of the family's 2925-position model. The record is from RNAcentral. Lineage: Bacteria; Pseudomonadati; Pseudomonadota; Gammaproteobacteria; Enterobacterales; Enterobacteriaceae.
GGGUUGUGAGGUUAAGCGACUAAGCGUACACGGUGGAUGCCCUGGCAGUCAGAGGCGAUGAAGGACGUGCUAAUCUGCGAUAAGCGUCGGUAAGGUGAUAUGAACCGUUAUAACCGGCGAUUUCCGAAUGGGGAAACCCAGUGUGAUUCGUCACACUAUCAUUAACUGAAUCCAUAGGUUAAUGAGGCGAACCGGGGGAACUGAAACAUCUAAGUACCCCGAGGAAAAGAAAUCAACCGAGAUUCCCCCAGUAGCGGCGAGCGAACGGGGAGGAGCCCAGAGCCUGAAUCAGUGUGUGUGUUAGUGGAAGCGUCUGGAAAGGCGCGCGAUACAGGGUGACAGCCCCGUACACAAAAAUGCACAUA